Molecule: long non-coding RNA, 1991 nt
Organism: Bufo bufo (common toad)
Lineage: Eukaryota; Metazoa; Chordata; Amphibia; Anura; Bufonidae
Exons: 3
Source: RefSeq, a predicted model, not a curated record
AAGGGAGUCCUGAGCUGUGUUACCAUAGUAUGACAGAAAAUGGAAGAGAGUGCUGAGCUGUGUUACCAUAGUAUAACAGAUAACGGAAGGGAGCGCUGCGCUGUGUUACCAUAGUAUAACAGAUAAUGGAAGAGAGUGCUGAGCUGUGUUACUAUAGUAUAGCAGAUAAUGGAAGGGAGUACUGAGCGGUGUUACCAUAGUAUAACAGAUAAUGGAAGAGAGUGCUGUGCUGUGUUACUAUAGUAUAACAGAUAAUGGAAGGGAGUGCUGUGCUGUGUUACCAUAGUAUAACAGAUAAUGGAAGGGAGUGCUGUGAUGUGUUACCAUAGUAUAACAGAUGACGGAAGGGAGUGCUGUGCUGUGUUACCAUAGUAUAACAGAUAAUAGAAGGGAGUGCUGUGAUGUGUUACCAUAGUAUAACAGAUAAUGGAAGGGAGUACUGAGCUGUGUUACUAUAGUAUAACAGAUAAUGGAAGGGAGUACUGAGCGGUGUUACCAUAGUAUAACAGAUAAUGGAAGGGAGUGCUGAGCUGUGUUACUAUAGUAUAACAGAUAAUGGAAGGGAGUACUGAGCGGUGUUACCAUAGUAUAACAGAUAAUGGAAGAGAGCGCUGUGCUGUGCUACCAUAGUAUAACAGAUAAUGGAAGGGAGUACUGAGCUGUGUUACUAUAGUAUAACAGAUAACGGAAGGGAGUAAUGAGCUGUGUUACCAUAGUAUAACAGAUAAUGGAAGAGAGUGCUGGGCUGUGUUACCAUAGUAUAAUAGAUAAUGGAAGGGAGUACUGAGCAUUAUUACCAUAGUAUAAAAGAUACUGGAAGAUAGUGCUGUGCUGUGUUACCAUAGUAUAACGGAAGGGAGUGCUGUGCUGUGUUACCAUAGUAUAACAGAUAAUGGAAGGGAGUGCUGUGAUGUGUUACCAUAGUAUAACAGAUAAUGGAAGGGAGUACUGAGCUGUGUUACCAUAGUAUAACAGAUAAUUGAAGGGAGUACUGAGCGGUGUUACCAUAGUAUAACAGAUAAUGGAAGGGAGUACUGAGCGGUGUUACCAUAGUAUAACAGAUAAUGGAAGGGAGUACUGAGCGGUGUUACCAUAGUAUAACAGAUAAUGGAAGGGAGUGCUGAGCUGUGUUACUAUAGUAUAACAGAUAAUGGAAGGGAGUACUGAGCGGUGUUACCAUAGUAUAACAGAUAAUGGAAGAGAGCGCUGUGCUGUGCUACCAUAGUAUAACAGAUAAUGGAAGGGAGUACUGAGCUGUGUUACUAUAGUAUAACAGAUAACGGAAGGGAGUAAUGAGCUGUGUUACCAUAGUAUAACAGAUAAUGGAAGAGAGUGCUGGGCUGUGUUACCAUAGUAUAAUAGAUAAUGGAAGGGAGUACUGAGCAUUAUUACCAUAGUAUAAAAGAUACUGGAAGAUAGUGCUGUGCUGUGUUACCAUAGUAUAACGGAAGGGAGUGCUGUGCUGUGUUACCAUAGUAUAACAGAUAAUGGAAGGGAGUGCUGUGAUGUGUUACCAUAGUAUAACAGAUAAUGGAAGGGAGUACUGAGCUGUGUUACCAUAGUAUAACAGAUAAUUGAAGGGAGUACUGAGCGGUGUUACCAUAGUAUAACAGAUAAUGGAAGGGAGUACUGAGCUGUGUUACCAUAGUAUAACAGAUAAUGGAAGAGAGUGCUGAGCUGUGUUACCAUAAUAUAACAGAUAAUGGAAGAGAGUGCUGUGCUGUGUUACCAUAGUAUAACGGAAGGGAGCGCUGUGCUGUGUUACCAUACUAUAACAGAUAAUGGAAGAGAGUGCUGAGCUGUGUUACUAUAGCAUAACAGAUAAUGGAAGAGAGUGCUGAGCUGUGUUACUAUAGUAUAACAGAUAAUGGAAGAGAGUGCUGAGCUGUGUUACUAUAGUAUAACACAUAAUGGAAGAGAGUGCUGAGCUGUGUUAGGCUAGUUUCACACGUAUUAAAGGGGUUGUCCGGGUUCAGAGCUGAACCCGAACA